AAGGUCAAGAGAUGGAGACCAUCCUGGUCAACAUGGUGAAACCCCGUCUCUACUAAAAAAAUAUACAAAAAAUUAGCUGGGCAUGGUGGCGCGUGCCUGUAAUCCCAGCUACUCAGGAGGCUGAGGCAGGAGAAUUGCCUGAAUCCAGGAGGCGGAGGUUGCCGUGAGCCGAGAUCGCGCCAUUGCACUCCAGUCUGGGUAACAAGCGCGAAACUCCGUCUCAUUAAAAAAAAAAAAAAAGAAGAAGAAGAAGAAUAGAGACCCUAUAAAUAAAGUCAUAUACUUACAACCAACUUAUCUUUGACCAAGUCCACAAAAGUAAACAAUGGGAAAAUAAACUUCUAUUCAAUAAAUGGUGCUGGGAAAAUUGGAUAGCCAUAAGUAGAAGAAUGAAACUGAACCCCUAUCUCACAGAACAUACACAAAUUAACUCAAGAUGGAUUAAAGACUUAAAGGUAUAUGCUGGAGAGCAGGAGCAGAAGAUGGCAACCAGAACACCAGAAACUGAUGCACACCUUGCUGGGAGGCUAGAAAGUGCAGUCUUCAUUCUGGGUGACCUCAAAUUUGGCAGUUUUUUUAUUGAAGGAAGAAGAAAAUGGCCAGCAAGUAUCAAAUGAGUGUGUGUGUGUGUGUGUGUGUGUGUAGCAUAAAUGUAUAUAGCAUAGAAAUAUAUAAGCAUAUAUAUGGAUGAGUUAUUAAUCUUCACAAAUACAACAUGUUAUCUCUAUUGAAAAAAAGAGCUUCAGAUAACAUCAUUCAGGAUUCUAGAAUCUUUUAUUAUUAGUGGUCAGGCAAGAUUGGGGUGGGUUUUCUUGCAAUAGGAGAGGGAGUAAAGGGAUGUGUAAAUGACUUAAUUUCUCCACCUCCUUAUGGGUUUGGAAUUUCCUUCCACAAAGAGGUUAAGGGUUUCUCUCAAAGAUUGAUGCCUAUGAGAAACACCACUGAAUGGGAUCAUCUGAUUCCCAAACUUUAAACCAUAAGGAGUAAUUAUGACUGGGGCAAUGCAUAGUGGAAAACACAGUAUAAAAGUAUGAGCUGAGGGAGUACUUAUUUGGAAAGAACUUCCAGGCAAGUACUGAUGAUGUGAGGCAAAGCAAUAAUUUAAAUCUUGUAAUUUGGGAAAUAGCAUGUCUAACUCCACUAUUUUGAAUGGGAUAUUAAAAUUUAAGACCCAAACCAGACUAGCUCCUUUCCUCCGGCCCAGAACUUACUGUGGUUUGUGUUUCUGUCACUUGAAAGAAAAUAAUUUCUCCCUAGAUUUGCAAAACUCUUUUUUUAUAAUCAUUUUAGUGAAAUAAAGUAGAGGCUUGCUGACAUGCUUUUACUCCUUGUGAUCUCCCAAGGAAGUUGGAGACUGAGGAGAAAGGAAAGGAAAGAUACAAAACUAAACUACUGUGUGAAUGGUUGGUAGUAAAGUCCCAUUAAUACUUUCUCUCUGACAUUCUUCUAACUCUAAUGGCCUUAGAAUAUACCUGAUGUUAAAAAGAUGAAGAAAAAUCUCUAACAGCAUCAGUAACCUGAAAGUGCCUAAGGUCAUUCUUUUACAGUUUGUGUCAGG
This is a long non-coding RNA of Callithrix jacchus (white-tufted-ear marmoset), 1558 nucleotides long. Lineage: Eukaryota; Metazoa; Chordata; Mammalia; Primates; Cebidae. The record is from Ensembl.